UACGUAGGUGGCAAGCGUUGUCCGGAAUUAUUGGGCGUAAAGCGCGCGCAGGCGGCCUCUUAAGUCUGAUGUGAAAGCCCCCGGCUCAACCGGGGAGGGCCAUUGGAAACUACGAGUCUUGAGGACCGGAGAGGAAAGUGGAAUUCCCAGUGUAGCGGUGGAAUGCGUAGAUAUUGGGAAGAACACCAGUGGCGAAGGCGACUUUCUGGUCUGUAACUGACGCUGAGGCGCGAAAGCGUGGGGAGCAAACAGG
RNAcentral lists this unclassified non-coding RNA (253 nucleotides) under uncultured Caryophanales bacterium. RNAcentral describes it as "uncultured Bacillales bacterium contains 16S-23S intergenic spacer region". It matches the Rfam family "Bacterial small subunit ribosomal RNA", at positions 524 to 776 of the family's 1533-position model. Lineage: Bacteria; Bacillati; Bacillota; Bacilli; Caryophanales. The record is from RNAcentral.